CUCACAAAUGGCAACUGACGUCAAGAAGCUGCGAGUGUAGAUGCUGCUGGGAGGAGCAGUAAAUGGAGAGAGAGAAUCGGUGCCGAUCAAGUAUGAGGUGGAGAGCUGCUGAGUGGGAGGGGCCGCUUCACGGUGAUGGGAACAUCUAAAAACGAGGGCUGAGAGGAAGGGUUUUGAUAUUGAGGAAGAUUCACUCAGCUCGGCCAUUCCCAGCAUGCACUGGGUGGAAAUCAAGAAAGAUGGUGGAUCCAAGAUCACAUUAACUGUAGGUCUUUUACCAGAAAUACAAAAUUCAAAAAGUGCAUCACGUAGAACUCAUUUUGACAUUUUAUGAAUAACACAUUAGAUAAAGUGCAGGCGUAAAUAAUAAAACUCAUGGUGGCCGAAAUCCAUUUAGGCGCACAUUAACUGUGACGCUUCAAUAGAGUGGAUUUAAUUGUUACACCAAACACUACACUGUACUUUAAAAUAAAAAUGGACUCUUCUUGCUUACCAACAAAACUUAACUGGUUGUAAUCUUACAAUUAGGUCAGAGUCACAGUUAAAGGUGUACUACGUAGUUUUGGGAAAUGAACGGAAACUCCAAAAGGUAACAUUCAUAAUUUUAAUAUGUUAGUAAUAAAAGCUAAGAAACAUAUCCAUUUCAUGUAUUUACAUAGCUGAAUCUACUAGUAGUCCUCAGAGUGUAAUAAAGUCCCCAGAAUGCUGUUUAAAGCCAGAAUGGAGGUGACUUGGAGGGGUCCGACAAAUAAGCUUUUUCUCUUCUGUUCAAAAGUAUCUUCCCCAAAACUAAACAGUGCACCUUUAAGUUUUUGCUUCUAAGACACAAGCACUGAUAGAGGACUUAAAGUGUCAAAACACAGAGCGCAACUGCCUCAGAAAUAUAUUAAGUUAUUGUGUCACUUCACACUUUGUCUUCGACACAGAAUCCAAAUCAAGGAACACAUUUUUUUUCCCUUUCUAUUGGACGCCUAAAUCAAUGACUUCAGAUACUCAAGUGACAAUUGCACAAACUAAGG
Long non-coding RNA from Acanthopagrus latus (yellowfin seabream), 1019 nucleotides. RefSeq lists it as uncharacterized. The transcript is spliced from 3 exons. The record is from RefSeq and is a predicted model, not a curated record. NCBI's taxonomy places the organism in Eukaryota, Metazoa, Chordata, Actinopteri, Spariformes, Sparidae.